Molecule: transfer RNA, 980 nt
Filed under: Arabidopsis thaliana (thale cress)
Lineage: Eukaryota; Viridiplantae; Streptophyta; Magnoliopsida; Brassicales; Brassicaceae
Description: ATSL303650
Rfam family: tRNA (bases 6-78)
Source: RNAcentral
AAAAUGGGGGUGUAGCUCAUAUGGUAGAGCGCUCGCUUCGCAUGCGAGAGGCACGGGGUUCGAUUCCCCGCACCUCCACCUACUCUAAUAAUAAUCAUGUUAUAAUUUUAUUAUUCAUUUUUUUUUUAAUUUAAUUAAUACAUAGAGUCCUCAUAGAAUUAACAUAUUCCUAUAUUUGUUACUUAAAUGUUGUUCGUUUCUAGAAGUUUUAACACUAUUCAAUUUUAUAAACUGCUAAUUAAUAAGUGCUAUUAAAAGAGUUCAAAGACGUUAAUCAAGAUAAUUAAUACCAUAGUUUUGUUCCCUUCCAUUUAAAUAGGCAAGGAUUUUAUUGUUGUUCAUCAAUCAACUACUAAACAUAUAUUUUGUUAUACUAACAAAGUUUUUUUUCUUUAUUUUUUCUCAAUAUCUCAGUAUGUCUAUUAAAAAUGUGAUUUCACUUUUAAUGGUCAUAUGCAUUAUAGUCUCCGUAAAUGCAAGGCCACCAUUUUCGUCUAUUUUUACUGAUCCAUAUCCGUUACUUAAUAGUUUUCCAGUAUUUUCUCGUAUAUUCAAAUGUUAUUCAUCUGUGAUGAAAUUUCCAAUAUGCGUUAUAGAAACUACUCAAUCCGUAUCUAAUAGGCGAUGGGUGAUUAGUCCUUAUUGUUGCAAGGCAUAUUUACAUACCAGAGAUUACUGCUUGCCAAAAAUUCCAUACAUGCCACAUUUUCCUUCUUUCAUAAGAAAUCAUUGUUUAAAAGUUGUUAGAAAAUAGAAUUUUAAUAUAUAUAUAUAUAUAUAUAUAUAUAUAUAUAUAUAAGUCUUUUAACAAAAAUAAAGUUGAUUUGCUAAAUGUUGUACUCAAAAACUACAAUUAUACAAUAAUAGCAUUACAACAUUCACUUUUCUGUGUUUCAUCUUUAUUUAGUUGACAAUAUGAUACUUUACAUGGACAUAGACAUAUAAACAAAUAGUUACAAGGUUAAUCUUCUUAAAAAAUU